This 342-nucleotide unclassified non-coding RNA is filed under the name soil metagenome. Its description in RNAcentral is "partial contains 5.8S ribosomal RNA, internal transcribed spacer 2, and large subunit ribosomal RNA". The stretch from base 1 to 120 matches the Rfam family "5.8S ribosomal RNA", at positions 35 to 154 of the family's 154-position model. The record is from RNAcentral.
GAUGAAGAACGUAGCGAAAUGCAAUAAGUAAUGUGAAUUGCAGAAUUCAGUGAAUCAUCGAAUCUUUGAACGCACAUUGCGCCCGCCAGCAUUCUGGCGGGCAUGCCUGUUCGAGCGUCAUUUCAACCCUCGAGCCCCCCCGGGGGCCUCGGUGUUGGGGGACGGCACACCAGCCGCCCCCGAAAUGCAGUGGCGACCUCGCCGCAGCCUCCCCUGCGUAGUAGCACACAUCUCGCACCGGAGCGCGGAGACGGUCACGCCGUAAAACGCCCAACUUCUUAGAGUUGACCUCGGAUCAGGUAGGAAUACCCGCUGAACUUAAGCAUAUCAAUAAGCGGAGGA